This 535-nucleotide ribosomal RNA is filed under the name uncultured Acidobacteriota bacterium. Its description in RNAcentral is "bacterial SSU rRNA". It matches the Rfam family "Bacterial small subunit ribosomal RNA", at positions 8 to 522 of the family's 1533-position model. The record is from RNAcentral. Lineage: Bacteria; Pseudomonadati; Acidobacteriota.
AGAGUUUGAUCAUGGCUCAGAAUCAACGCUGGCGGCGUGCCUAACACAUGCAAGUCGAACGCGAAAGUCCCGCAAGGGAUGAGUAGAGUGGCAAACGGGUGAGUAACACGUGGGUGACCUGCCUUCGAGCGGGGGAUAACGUCCCGAAAGGGACGCUAAUACCGCAUAACAUCCUGCCUUUGAAGAGGCGGUGAUCAAAGCUGGGGAUCGCAAGACCUAGCACUUGAAGAGGGGCCCGCGUCCGAUUAGCUAGUUGGUGGGGUAAUAGCCCACCAAGGCAACGAUCGGUAGCCGGCCUGAGAGGGCGGACGGCCACACUGGGACUGAGACACGGCCCAGACUCCUACGGGAGGCAGCAGUGGGGAAUUGUUCGCAAUGGGCGCAAGCCUGACGACGCAACGCCGCGUGGAGGAUGAAGAUCUUCGGGUCGUAAACUCCUUUCGAUCGAGACGAAUUCCUCUGGGGUGAACAAUCCCGGAGGUUGACGGUACCGAGAGAAGAAGCCCCGGCUAACUCCGUGCCAGCAGCCGCGGUA